Molecule: ribosomal RNA, 468 nt
Filed under: uncultured bacterium
Lineage: Bacteria
Description: partial 16S ribosomal RNA
Rfam family: Bacterial small subunit ribosomal RNA
Source: RNAcentral
GACGAACGCUGGCGGCGUGCUUAACACAUGCAAGUCGAACGGAAAGGCACUGAUUUUGUGGGGUGCUCGAGUGGCGAACGGGUGCGUAUCACGUGAGUAACCUGCCCUUGUCUUUGGGAUAACAUCAGGAAACUGGGCUUACUAUAGGACAGGAGCCCACGCUGCGUGGUGGGGGUUGGAAAGUUUCGGCGGUUGGGGAUGGACUGGCGGCUUAUCAGCUUGUUGGUGGGGUAGUGGCUUACCCACGCAUUGAAGGGUCGGCGACCUGGGAGGGGGACCGGCCACAAUGGGACUGAGAUACGGCCCAGACGCCAACGGUAGGCAGCGGUGGGGAAUAUUGCACAGUGGGCGGGAGCCUGAUGCGGCAACGCCGCGUGCGGGAUGACAGCCUGCUGGUUGUAAACCGCUUUCGCCUGAUACGAAGCGGUAGUGACGGUAAUGAGUAAAGAAGCACCGGCUAACUACGUG